GGCUCUCUGGCGUAACUGGCAGCCGCGCCGGCCUCAAACACCGGUGCCCGCAUGGGCGUGCGGGUUCGACUCCCGCGAGAGCCAC
RNAcentral lists this transfer RNA (85 nucleotides) under Mycolicibacterium sp. CBMA 213. RNAcentral describes it as "tRNA-Leu". It matches the Rfam family "tRNA". From Rfam's summary of the family: Transfer RNA (tRNA) molecules are approximately 80 nucleotides in length. Their secondary structure includes four short double-helical elements and three loops (D, anti-codon, and T loops). Lineage: Bacteria; Bacillati; Actinomycetota; Actinomycetes; Mycobacteriales; Mycobacteriaceae. The record is from RNAcentral.